AUUCUACAGCAGAUGCUGUCUGAGGAAAGGGUAGUUCCUCACCUCCCACUGGCCACAAUCUGGGAAUGGCACGUUGGGGUAGCAUGCCAUCAGACCGGUCACCAGCGUUUGAAGGCUGUCCACUUGCUCUUGAAGGUAGUGCAGUGCAGUGCCCAGAGGGAGUGUGACCUUACCUUGUUGAAGCCGCUUUGGCAGCUUUUUACCUGUACGGAAAACAACUUGUGUCAUGACAUGGCCAAGCCUGGGAUUCUUCUUCCUCUUCGUCGUGCGCUUGCAGAACUCUUCCUUGUUACAGAAAACAGAGUUAGUGAGCUUGGAUCUCUACAAGAGUAUUUGCUUGCCUUAAAUACUGAAGAUCAACUUCACCGCUGCACAGCACAGG
Long non-coding RNA from Pezoporus flaviventris, 382 nucleotides. RefSeq lists it as uncharacterized. The record is from RefSeq and is a predicted model, not a curated record. The transcript is spliced from 3 exons. Lineage: Eukaryota; Metazoa; Chordata; Aves; Psittaciformes; Psittacidae.